This 912-nucleotide ribosomal RNA is filed under the name uncultured archaeon. RNAcentral describes it as "bacterial SSU rRNA". It matches the Rfam family "Archaeal small subunit ribosomal RNA", at positions 1 to 922 of the family's 1478-position model. The record is from RNAcentral.
UUCCGGUUGAUCCUGCCGGAGGCUACCGCUAUUGGAGUUCGAUUAAGCCAUGCGAGUCUAGAGGCCUAGCCUCGGCGUACCGCUCAGUAACACGUGGGUAACCUACCCUAUACUGGGGAAUAAGCUCGGGAAACUGAGAAUAAUACCCCAUAGUCCACUACGCCUGGAACGGUGAGUGGAUCAAAGCUCCGGCGGCAUAGGAUGGGCCUGCGGCGUAUCAGGUUGUAGGGGGUGUAAUGUACCCUCUAGCCAUCCACGCGUACGGGUGUUGGGAGACAUUGCCCGGAGAUGGAUUCUGAGACGCGAAUCCAGACCCUACGGGGUGCAGCAGGCGCGAAAACUUGGCAAUGCGAGAAAUCGUGACCAGGGAACUCCAAGUGGCAGGGGUAAGACCCUGUCUUUUUCCGACUCUAAAUAGGUCGGCGAAUAAGGGGUGGGUAAGGACGGUGCCAGCCGCCGCGGUAAUACCGGCGCCUCAAGUGGUAGUCGCUUUUAUUGGGCCUAAAACGUCCGUAGCCGGUCUGGUACAUUCGUGGGUAAAUCAACUCGCUCAACGAGUUGAAUUCUGCGAGGACGGCCAGACUUGGGACCGGGAGAGGUGUGGGGUACUCUCAGGGUAGGGGUAAAAUCCUGUCAUCCUGAGAGGACCACCUGUUGCGAAGGCUCCACACUAGAACGGAUCCGACGGUCAGGGACGAAGCCUAGGGGCACGAACCGGAUUAGAUACCCGGGUAGUCCUAGGUGUAAACGCUGUGGACUUGAUGUUGGGGACGCUCCGAGCGUUCUCAGUGUCGAAGCGAAGGUGAUAAGUCCACUGCCUGGGGAGUACGGUCGCAAGGCUGAAACUUAAAGGAAUUGGCGGGGGAGCACCGCAACCUGAGGAUUGUGCGGUUUAAUUGGAUCAACGCCGAA